AUUGAACGCUGGCGGAAUGCUUUACACAUGCAAGUCGAACGGCAGCACGGACUUCGGUCUGGUGGCGAGUGGCGAACGGGUGAGUAAUGUAUCGGAACGUGCCCAGUCGUGGGGGAUAACGUAGCGAAAAUUACGCUAAUACCGCAUACGAUCUAUGGAUGAAAGCGGGGGAUCGCAAGACCUCGCGCGAUUGGAGCGGCCGAUAUCAGAUUAGGUAGUUGGUGGGGUAAAGGCCCCCCAAGCCAACGAUCUGUAGCUGGUCUGAGAGGACGACCAGCCACACUGGAACUGAGACACGGUCCAGACUCCUACGGGAGGCAGCAGUGGGGAAUUUUGGACAAUGGGCGAAAGCCUGAUCCAGCCAUUCCGCGUGCAGGAUGAAGGCCCUCGGGUUGUAAACUGCUUUUGUACAGAACGAAAAGGUUUCUACUAAUACUAGGAGCUCAUGACGGUACUGUAAGAAUAAGCACCGGCUAACUACGUGCCAGCCGCCGCGGUAA
Molecule: ribosomal RNA, 500 nt
Filed under: uncultured bacterium
Lineage: Bacteria
Description: partial 16S ribosomal RNA
Rfam family: Bacterial small subunit ribosomal RNA
Source: RNAcentral